RNAcentral lists this long non-coding RNA (1368 nucleotides) under Homo sapiens (human). Its description in RNAcentral is "testis expressed 41". The record is from RNAcentral. Lineage: Eukaryota; Metazoa; Chordata; Mammalia; Primates; Hominidae.
GAAAACGGAAAAUAAAAACAGCAGACCUAUGAAGGUCGAAGGGGAAGAAAAGCUGUAUCGAUUGUUGAGAUCUGGCGACUUGUUUAAAUUUCAUCAGCCUCACUUCUAUGAACUCUCAGAGCUGAUUACCAACUCCUACCACUGUUAACCCUCAUCCAGGAACAAGCUUAUGUCUUUAACAUUCUGAGUGGGCUUCAGCAUCCUUGCAUAUGUUCAAUUCUUAAAAACCUGUUGAAAUAAAAGAUCAGGAGACAUAGGAAGGAUGCCAGAAGAGAGCGUGGCCUCACGUGUACCAGCUCUCUGCUCUCCUUUGCCUUGGGACGUUCCAUCCCUGGAAGUUUCCCUGCCCACAUCUUUGUAGAGAGUCCAUUCUCCAAGCUUCAGUGUGUCAUCUGUGAGGACCGUGACCCACCUGGUACAUCGCCUCAGGGCAUUCAUUUCAGGCUCCUUCUAAAUGGCCAAGGACUUUACUGAAGACUCUAAGGAGGACCUGUAUCUGUUGGGAUCCUCAGGGCAAGCCACAGAAACAAGCUUUGGAUACUAGAAGCAGAAAAUGGAGAUAUUGAAGACUAUUGUGGAGUUUACUGUGAGCCAGAGAACCAGGCUGGGGGGCUGUAUCACUUAGAAUGAGAUCCAAACUCACACCAUAGUUCCAUCCUUGAGGUUGCCAUGUUGCUGCCACCCCUCCUGCCACCCCACCACUGAAGCUUUGGAUGCUGGAUUCUGGGCACAGCAGGGAGAAGUGUUGCUUAUUACCAUUUUAGUAUGUUUUCUUUCAAGACCUUUUCAAAAUAUACAUACGUAUUUUUAUUUCUAUUCAAAAUGGGAUACAUUUUUGAAGGUUAGCAAUAUAUUGUGAACAUUUUCUUUCCAUGCUCAGAAACAUUUUUCUAUAAUGUAAUUUAUAGUGAUAUAAACUAUCUCAUAGACCUACCAUAGUUUACCUAACAAAUCCCAAAUCAUUUGUGCCAUUUCUAAAUUUUUAUUAUUUUAUGUAAUGCUUUAAUGAACAUCCUUGCAUUUAUAUUUUAUACAAUUUUAGAAGUGGAAUUACUGGUUCAAAAUACAUGGUGAUUUUUAAUUCUUCUGUUGAAUAUUGACAAAUUGCAAUCCUGAGAGUUAUCUUGAAGGAUAGAGUACAUGCCCAGGGUUCUUUUUUAAGAAAUAAUUUGUAAUGUGAAACAGAAUAGGCUAAAUGUUUUUUAUUCUCUUAGUCCUACUCUGUCAUUCUGCAGAGUUUCACUUAUUUGGAUUCAAAUUCUAAUUCCAGCCUACCUCUCUUUUUAUAUAAUUGUUAGGAGGAUUAAAUUAGAUGCAUAAAAUUGCUGCUUACUACAUACAUUGCACAAACUAAAAACUUUUCAAAGG